CUUCAAGAACAGUUUUUCUAUUAGUUGAUUUUGUUCUAUCCUUUUCAUUCUAAAGAUUAUUCUUUUUGGCAUAGAAAACAGAUUUGAGAAGCUGUGUCCUCUGGGACAUCACUCUUCAUUGAUCAGUUUACCCCAAGCAGUGGUCCUAGCGUUUGUACUUUGUUUCAGUACAAUUUUAAAAUACUCUGAAUUUUCCUUAGUUUGCCUUGUUCAACUUCAGCGUUAGUAUUCUUGACAUUAUUUUUACAAGACUAAUCCAUUAUUUUGUAUUCAUUCUGUUUCCUAUCCCUUGUUUCCAUCUUUUAUGCAAAAUUUUAAGACCAAAAAAAGGGGAUGAACUUUACCUCCACAUCUGAUAAUUCCCCCUUUUCCUCCUUAUGAAAUUAUUUUUCUUUGUGUCUUCAGAGUUACCUUUAGGAGGGCUGAUUUCCCUGGCAAAAUUUUGUUUUCUAGGAACCUAGCUUAUACUUUCUCUGAACCCAUUGAAUCCUGCUCUCCUAGAAUCAAUGAUACAUGUCAAACUAAGCUGGUUAUCCUUUCCACUGUCACAAAUGUUAAGACAGAAUGGAAAUGAUUUGCAGCUGAGUGAAUCAGGAAGUGACAGCGAUGAAUGAAGAAAUUGUGGGCCUUAACAUGAAUAUUUUUAAAAAUUAGAAUAUCAGAAAAUUUGUUUUGCACUAAGAUUAAAAUUUCUCAAGGCUGGGAAGUGUCUCAACUUUUGAUGAUAAUGGAAAUGUAAUUUGAUUCUGAAUUUUCUACUGAUGUUAUAUGGAAACAACACUGCUUUGAUCUACUUAGUUUAUUUAGUUUCCUGAGUUCAAAUCUGGCCUCAGAUACUUACUAGUUGUGUGACCCUGGGCAAGUCACUUCCGUUUCCUCAUCUAUAAAAUGAGCUGGAGAAGGAAAUGGCAAACCACUCCAGUAUCUUUGUCAAGAAAAGCCCAAAUAGGGUCAUGAAGAGUUGAACAGGACUGAAAUGACUGAACAACAAAGAAUUUUUGUAAUGGACUAGAUUGAUAGUAAAAUACUAUGAUGAUAAUUAUGGUGAUUGUAUUUUUAUGUUUGCCACCUUCUGUUCUUGACAUUUUAGUUGGUAAUAGCUAAAUAACUAUAUAAAUUUAAGGUGACACAAUGUACAUGUAUCAGAGAAAACAAUUUGUUCAUCCCUCUUACAGAUUCAAUGUCAAUUGCUUAUUUGAUUUUUGAAAUGAAAAAUAAAUAGCUAAAUGUCAAAAACCUAAAUUAUGUU
This 1249-nucleotide long non-coding RNA is filed under the name Monodelphis domestica (gray short-tailed opossum). RNAcentral describes it as "lncRNA (ENSMODG00000036855.1)". The record is from RNAcentral. Lineage: Eukaryota; Metazoa; Chordata; Mammalia; Didelphimorphia; Didelphidae.